UUUUUUUUUUUUUCCUUCGGUUUCCUUUCUGUGUUUUUAUUUUUUUUCUUCUUCUUCUUCUUUCUUUUUUUUUUCCUUCUCCUCUUUCUCUCUCUCUCUCUCUCUCUCUAUUAACUUUAUAAUAAUUAAUAUAUAAAGAUCUUUAUAGAAAAUUGUUUCUGUUUCCAUACUUGAUCGAUUAUUAUAUUUCUGCACUGAAUUACUGUUUAUCUGUGUACAGAUUUAGCUGAUUUGAUUUGUGUUUUUACUUUUAAUCAACUGAAUAACUGCAUGUUAAUUAAUUUACCUUUUUCAAUUGCUCGCGCUGUUGUAAUUGAAGUUCCAGGGAGUUGAGUAUAUAUAUAUGUGUGUGUGUGUGUGUGUGGAGGAUGGUUUUCAUUUGGUCGCGUAUGUUUCUUUGAUAUUAGUUCUCCAUUUAUUAGGGCCUGGCCGUGGAUAAAUUAUUUUUUUGGGGCAGCAUAUACAUACUUACUCCCAGUCCCACUGCUUCUUCGUGUUAAUUAAUUCCGUUGUGAUUGAAAUUGUGCUCGGGAUAACAUUUGUAUUUCACAUUAUUGUUCCAAAAACUUUAACUGUUGUAUUGGUGUGCCCAAAAGCUUCCCUUAAUUGAAAAAUUGUUGAUUUCCUUCUACUUAAGGCAUGCAUCUACUUGGAAGAUACAGUUCACCCUUUUGAUUUAUCCCUUCAAGUCUUGUCACUUGUUGCAUGUAUCCGUUGUUGGUGCUUCGUAAUUUUUUAUUUUCCACAACUCCUGCACUUGAGAUGAUGCUUCCUAGACAAAUGACUGAAGUUUUGCUUAGCUUCGUAGAUUUUGAAUAGGCCUUUACUGUAGACUGAACUCCACAGUGCCCCCUUCUGCCAAAGUGAUGUGCUUUGACAGUUUGGAUAACCAAUUAACCUUGAUCG
RNAcentral lists this long non-coding RNA (906 nucleotides) under Citrus sinensis (sweet orange). RNAcentral's name for it is "long non-coding RNA (CSIN_LNC005691)". Lineage: Eukaryota; Viridiplantae; Streptophyta; Magnoliopsida; Sapindales; Rutaceae. The record is from RNAcentral.